This 343-nucleotide unclassified non-coding RNA is filed under the name soil metagenome. RNAcentral describes it as "partial contains 5.8S ribosomal RNA, internal transcribed spacer 2, and large subunit ribosomal RNA". The stretch from base 1 to 120 matches the Rfam family "5.8S ribosomal RNA", at positions 35 to 154 of the family's 154-position model. The record is from RNAcentral.
GAUGAAGAACGCAGCGAAAUGCGAUAAGUGAUGUGAAUUGCAGAAUUCAGUGAAUCAUCGAAUCUUUGAACGCACAUUGCGCCCGCCAGCAUUCUGGCGGGCAUGCCUGUUCGAGCGUCAUUUCAACCCUCGAGCCCCCCCGGGGGCCUCGGUGUUGGGGGACGGCACACCAGCCGCCCCCGAAAUGCAGUGGCGACCCCGCCGCAGCCUCCCCUGCGUAGUAGCACACACCUCGCACCGGAGCGCGGAGGCGGUCACGCCGUAAAACGCCCAACUUUCUUAGAGUUGACCUCGGAUCAGGUAGGAAUACCCGCUGAACUUAAGCAUAUCAAUAAGCGGAGGA